CAUUUUGAUUAUUUGAAACUGUUAUCAUUAUUCUGAAUUUAUAUUAUUCUUGAAUCAUACUGAAAUCCAUUGCGGUAUAACUUUGAAUCCAUUAAUGUUAGUCUUACGUUGGUUUUCUGUCUUAUUCAGAUAAGAAUCCACCUAUAACCGCCUCCACUUGGUCUUCGACUCUGCCGUUUCUGUUUUUUUUUUGAGCUGAACUACUUGCUUCAUUAUUACGUUCUGUUGCCACCGGCAAUAUAUGUGCACGAGUUUCUCAUCGCACUUCGUGCUUUUCAUUACCUCCUGGCUUCGUACUGCGAACCUAUUCUCUUUUCGGAACUACAACAAUAAAAGUUUCAACGCUU
Molecule: long non-coding RNA, 347 nt
Organism: Hyalella azteca
Lineage: Eukaryota; Metazoa; Arthropoda; Malacostraca; Amphipoda; Hyalellidae
Exons: 2
Source: RefSeq, a predicted model, not a curated record